UUCCUACGGGGCGCAGCAGUGGGGAAUAUUGCACAAUGGGGGAAACCCUGAUGCAGCAACGCCGCGUGAGUGAAGAAGUAUUUCGGUAUGUAAAGCUCUAUCAGCAGGGAAGAGAAUGACGGUACCUGACUAAGAAGCCCCGGCUAACUACGUGCCAGCAGCCGCGGUAAUACGUGGGGGGCAAGCGUUAUCCGGAUUUACUGGGUGUAAAGGGAGCGUAGACGGCUGGCC
Molecule: ribosomal RNA, 231 nt
Filed under: uncultured bacterium
Lineage: Bacteria
Description: partial 16S ribosomal RNA
Rfam family: Bacterial small subunit ribosomal RNA
Source: RNAcentral